Molecule: ribosomal RNA, 211 nt
Filed under: uncultured eukaryote
Lineage: Eukaryota
Description: partial small subunit ribosomal RNA
Rfam family: Eukaryotic small subunit ribosomal RNA
Source: RNAcentral
GGGAACCUCACCAGGCCCGUACACAGGAAGGAUUGAUAGAUUGAGAGUGGUGGUGCAUGGCCGUUCUUAGUUGGUGGAGUGAUUUGUCUGGUUAAUUCCGUUAACGAACGAGACCCCAGCCUGCUAAAUAAUCACGCUAAUGACUUUUCAUUGGCGAUUGGUUUCUUAGAGGGACAUGUAGUAUAAAACUACAGGAAGAUUGGGGCAAUAA